Molecule: ribosomal RNA, 465 nt
Filed under: Vreelandella stevensii
Lineage: Bacteria; Pseudomonadati; Pseudomonadota; Gammaproteobacteria; Oceanospirillales; Halomonadaceae
Description: partial 16S ribosomal RNA
Rfam family: Bacterial small subunit ribosomal RNA
Source: RNAcentral
CCUACGGGAGGCAGCAGUGGGGAAUAUUGGACAAUGGGGGGAACCCUGAUCCAGCCAUGCCGCGUGUGUGAAGAAGGCCCUCGGGUUGUAAAGCACUUUCAGUGAGGAAGAACGCCUGGUGGUUAAUACCCAUCAGGAAAGACAUCACUCACAGAAGAAGCACCGGCUAACUCCGUGCCAGCAGCCGCGGUAAUACGGAGGGUGCGAGCGUUAAUCGGAAUUACUGGGCGUAAAGCGCGCGUAGGUGGCUUGAUAAGCCGGUUGUGAAAGCCCCGGGCUCAACCUGGGAACGGCAUCCGGAACUGUCAAGCUAGAGUGCAGGAGAGGAAGGUAGAAUUCCCGGUGUAGCGGUGAAAUGCGUAGAGAUCGGGAGGAAUACCAGUGGCGAAGGCGGCCUUCUGGACUGACACUGACACUGAGGUGCGAAAGCGUGGGUAGCAAACAGGAUUAGAUACCUUGGUAGUC